GAACUUAAGCAUAUCAAUAAGCGGAGGAAAAGAAACUAACAAGGAUUCCCCUAGUAACUGCGAGUGAAGCGGGAAAAGCUCAAAUUUGAAAUCUGAUAGUUUUUGACUGUCCGAAUUGUAAUCUAGAGAAGUGUUACCUGUGCUGGACCGUGUACAAGUCUCCUGGAAUGGAGCAUCAUAGAGGGUGAGAAUCCCGUCUUUGACAUGGACUACCAGUGCAUUAUGGUGCGCUCUCAAAGAGUCGAGUUGUUUGGGAAUGCAGCUCAAAAUGGGUGGUAAAUGCCAUCUAAAGCUAAAUAUUGGCGAGAGACCGAUAGCGAACAAGUACCGUGAGGGAAAGAUGAAAAGAACUUUGGAAAGAGAGUUAAACAGUACGUGAAAUUGCUGAAAGGGAAACGCUUGAAGUCAGUCACGUUGGCUAGAAAUCAGCCUUGCUUUUGCUUGGUGUACUUUCUGGUUGAUGGGUCAGCAUCAAUUUUGAUCAUUGGAUAAAGUCAUUGGGAAUGUGGCAUCUUUAGAUGUGUUAUAGCCCAUUGUCGCAUACAGUGGUUGGGAUUGAGGAAUUCAGCACGCCGCAAGGCCGGGUUUUGACCACGUUCGUGCUUAGGAUGCUGGCAUAAUGGCUUUAAUCGACCCGUCUUGAAACACGGACCAAGGAGUCUAACAUGCCUGCAAGUGUUUGGGUGGAAAACCCAUACGCGUAAUGAAAGUAAAAGUUGAGAUCCCUUUCAAGGAGCAUUGACGCCCGGACCAGACCUUUUGUGACGGAUCCGCGGUAGAGCAUGUAUGUUGGGACCCGAAA
This 802-nucleotide ribosomal RNA is filed under the name uncultured fungus. Its description in RNAcentral is "eukaryotic LSU rRNA". It matches the Rfam family "Eukaryotic large subunit ribosomal RNA", at positions 30 to 821 of the family's 3401-position model. Lineage: Eukaryota; Fungi. The record is from RNAcentral.